GACGAACGCUGGCGGCGUGCCUAAUACAUGCAAGUUGAGCGAUGAAGCUUGGUGCUUGCACCAAUUUGAAGAGCAGCGAACGGGUGAGUAACGCGUGGGGAAUCUGCCUUUGAGCGGGGGACAACAUUUGGAAACGAAUGCUAAUACCGCAUAACAACUUUAAACAUAAGUUUUAAGUUUGAAAGAUGCAAUUGCAUCACUCAAAGAUGAUCCCGCGUUGUAUUAGCUAGUUGGUGAGGUAAAGGCUCACCAAGGCGAUGAUACAUAGCCGACCUGAGAGGGUGAUCGGCCACAUUGGGACUGAGACACGGCCCAAAAUCCUACGGGAGGCAGCAGGAGGGAAUCUUCGGCAAUGGACGAAAGUCUGACCGAGCAACGCCGCGUGAGUGAAGAAGGUUUUCGGAUCGUAAAACUCUGUUGGUAGAGAAGAACGUUGGUGAGAGUGGAAAGCUCAUCAAGUGACGGUAACUACCCAGAAAGGGACGGCUAACUACGUG
This 497-nucleotide ribosomal RNA is filed under the name uncultured bacterium. RNAcentral describes it as "partial 16S ribosomal RNA". It matches the Rfam family "Bacterial small subunit ribosomal RNA", at positions 28 to 507 of the family's 1533-position model. The record is from RNAcentral.